RNAcentral lists this ribosomal RNA (619 nucleotides) under uncultured Alphaproteobacteria bacterium. RNAcentral's name for it is "bacterial SSU rRNA". It matches the Rfam family "Bacterial small subunit ribosomal RNA", at positions 28 to 691 of the family's 1533-position model. Lineage: Bacteria; Pseudomonadati; Pseudomonadota; Alphaproteobacteria. The record is from RNAcentral.
AGCGAACGCUGGCGGCAGGCCUAACACAUGCAAGUCGAGCGCUCAUCUUCGGAUGGGAGCGGCGCACGGGUGAGUAACACGUGGGAACCUACCUUGAAGUAUGGAAUAACUGAGGGAAACUUCAGCUAAUACCGUAUACGCCCUACGGGGGAAAGAUUUAUCGCUUCAAGACGGGCCCGCGUUGGAUUAGCUAGUUGGUGAGGUAAUGGCUCACCAAGGCGACGAUCCAUAGCUGAUUUGAGAGAAUGAUCUGCCACACUGGGACUGAGACACGGCCCAGACUCCUACGGGAGGCAGCAGUGGGGAAUAUUGGACAAUGGGCGCAAGCCUGAUCCAGCCAUGCCGCGUGAGUGAUGAAGGCCUUCGGGUUGUAAAGCUCUUUCAGAUGGGACGAUGAUGACGGUACCAUCAGAAGAAGCCCCGGCUAACUUCGUGCCAGCAGCCGCGGUAAUACGAAGGGGGCUAGCGUUGUUCGGAAUUACUGGGCGUAAAGCGCGCGUAGGCGGCUUUGUCAGUCAGGGGUGAAAUCCCGGGGCUUAACCUCGGAACUGCCUUUGAUACUGCAAGGCUUGAGUCUGUGAGAGGAUGGUGGAAUACCCAGUGUAGAGGUGAAAUUCGU